GGGCGAGUGGGAAUGUGGAGGCUGGGCUACCCUCCCCACCCAGGGGCUUUGCAGCCUGGUCCUGCCACAGCGUCAAGAGGGACUGAAGUCAUACCGGUGAGGUCCGUGACAGAUGACAGGGGGAACAGGAAAUGCGACUAUUAGAAUUAUCAUUGUGGUGUUGAGGUCAGCAUCCUGCCCCUCCCCAGUGACCUCAGGCAAGUCGCUUAAUCUCUGGGCUUAGUUGUUGACAUGUGAUGGAUGACAUGGAGCUUCCAAGAUCCACAGCCUUAGAACUGUGAUUUGGCCUCUGUGUAGGUGACACAGGCAGACAGAAAUACCCACCAUAUGGCUUUAAUCCCAGCACUCGGGAGGCAGAGACAGGCGGAUCUCUGUGAGUUCGAGACCAGCCUGGUCUACAAGAGCUAGUUCUAGGACAGCCUCCAAAGCCAGAGAAGCCCUGUCUCGAAAAACAAAAAACAAAACAAAACAAAACAAAGAAAAAAGAAAUACCCACCAUAGACUUGAGACAUUCCGGAGAUCUGGCAGCCACUGGCAAACUGUGGUGCUCCUGGGAGGGUCUUGUGACCCUUACAUGGAGAGUCAACUCUUCAUCCUGGACAGUCACUAUAGGAAUACUUUAAUGACACUUGACCUGCUCCUACUUGGUGCCCCCUGCCCAGCCUCACCCCUCCAAGAUGUCUUGGAUGUACAAGCCCUGUCUGUCUAAUCAAAGACAAACAGAGGUGUCACACUUUGAGGGUUUCAGCUAGGACUGUCCCAUUUUGCAGAAAAGGAAGCCUGAGGUUGUGAAUUGUAAGUAGCCAUGCAAAGCCAGUUGCCCAACUUGUGAGUAUCAGACACUGGUUGCAGCCAACAUCUGCCUGCCAAGCUCACACCCUGUAGGAGCCCUACACAUGAGGUCCUCAGCUAGUGCGUUAGUUAGGAUCAGCCGGGUGCUCGGGGGAUCUGCGCAGGACUCAGCCUCUCUGCCUGGCUGUCCUCUCUGCCUGCCUGUGCCUCUCCCCAUCCCAUCAUCUCGGGGAUUCCUCGUCUUCCACUGAACUCCGGGCCCAUGCUGUCUCCUCCGCCGUUGAAGCUAGCAACAGGCCUUUUCUACUUCCUGUCUCUCUGGAGAAAGUCCGAUUUAAAUGUUCCCUGACUUUUUUUUUUGUUUGUUUCCUUCUUCCAAAAGCUGUGUUUUCAAUUAAUUUUAUAAUAAAAGCCAUACCAGAUUCUUGAAAACAACAGCAUCAAGAAGUUAUUUUUAAAAGCUAGCUCGGGGAGAGCUUACCCAACUCUGCCCGCCCAGCUCAUCAAUGCCCUGGUUCCCGCUUCUACCCCUCUACCAGAUUACUGCCCUGUCACUCUCACCGGGCCUCUUGAAACUACUUCUAAACUCCCUUCCUAAUGCCCCCUGCCACUGUGUACAGCUGCCUGUGUAGAGCCCCUGCCCUCCCCAUCACCCAGCCCGCCUCUGCAAGGCAGAGCUGAUCUGCCCGGAUUGCUUUGGACUUGUUCAAAAGUCACCAGGGAUUUGGCAGCCCCCAGGGAUAAAACCUAGAUCACCAACCCCCUGAACUCUUGAACCUCAGUGCCCACCAGACGGUUGACUCCUGCCUUUGUAUGUGCUGGAUUCUCUGUGAAUGACCCUGUUUCAGAGUGGGGGAAUAUGCCAGUGCAGGAAGACAAGAUGGAGGAAAGAAGUGGACAUGCCCAGGUCUCAGAGAGCAACCCACCAGGGGUUUACAAACAGAAGUGUGGAUUAGGUAGGGUAAAACAGGAGGUUCCAGCACCCCAAAUCUGGAGGAAGUAUGUGCAUAUGCUUUGUCUACCUCAGGGAGACAAAGGAGGCACAUUGCCAGCCCGACUACACCUGGGCUUCCUCAAAUUACAACAUCAGUGGAGAGUCAGGGCACCAUUGUUCAGGGUUGGGCACAAAACUCUCCACUGACUAUUUUAAACUCUGUGUCUUACAGGGUCAGGUCACAUGGUGGAUGUGGUAGCUAAUCUUCGAUCUCAGCUUGACUGGGUGUGCCUGUGGGUGUUUCCAGGAAGGUUUAUCUGAGGACCCACUUUAAAUGUGGGCAGCAGCAUUCCUUGGUCUGGGGUCCCAGACUGGAUAAAAAGGAGAAGAAACUGUGGCUCAGCCAGGGUGGUGCCGGUGAGACGGUUGACUGGAGAAAGCUCCUGCUGCUAAGGCCAGCUACCCGAGUUCAAUCCCUGGUACCCACAAGAUGGAAGGAGAGAGCAGACUUCUGCACGUUGUCUUCUGAACCCCCUCACAGUGACAUGUGUGACCCCACACAAAGGAAUUAAUGUUUUAUAUAUGUACAUACAUACAGAUAGAUUUUUUUAAAAAAAGGA
Long non-coding RNA from Mesocricetus auratus (golden hamster), 2346 nucleotides. RefSeq lists it as uncharacterized. The transcript is spliced from 2 exons. The record is from RefSeq and is a predicted model, not a curated record. NCBI's taxonomy places the organism in Eukaryota, Metazoa, Chordata, Mammalia, Rodentia, Cricetidae.